AUAUAGGGAUGAAAGCCAUGAA
This 22-nucleotide microRNA is filed under the name Callorhinchus milii (elephant shark). RNAcentral's name for it is "Cmi-Mir-135-P1_3p* (star (passenger))". RNAcentral also lists the same sequence under 1 other name. The record is from RNAcentral. Lineage: Eukaryota; Metazoa; Chordata; Chondrichthyes; Chimaeriformes; Callorhinchidae.